Molecule: ribosomal RNA, 590 nt
Filed under: uncultured Desulfosporosinus sp.
Lineage: Bacteria; Bacillati; Bacillota; Clostridia; Eubacteriales; Desulfitobacteriaceae
Description: bacterial SSU rRNA
Rfam family: Bacterial small subunit ribosomal RNA
Source: RNAcentral
GAGUUUGAUCAUGGCUCAGGACGAACGCUGGCGGCGUGCCUAACACAUGCAAGUCGGACGGAGAAUUUCGAAGAGUUUACUUAGAGAAAUUUUUAGUGGCGGACGGGUGAGUAACGCGUGGGUAACCUACCCAUAAACCCGGGACAACCCUUGGAAACGAGGGCUAAUACCGGAUAAUCUUUGGGAGUGGCAUCACUCUUUAAGAAAAGGUGGCCUCUGAAUAUGCUACCGAUUAUGGAUGGACCCGCGUCUGAUUAGCUAGUUGGUGGGGUAAAGGCCUACCAAAGCGACGAUCAGUAGCCGGCCUGAGAGGGUGAACGGCCACACUGGGACUGAGACACGGCCCAGACUCCUACGGGAGGCAGCAGUGGGGAAUCUUCCGCAAUGGACGAAAGUCUGACGGAGCAACGCCGCGUGUAUGAUGAAGGUCUUCGGAUUGUAAAGUACUGUCUUUGGGGAAGAAUGAUUGGUUUGAAAAUAUUGAGCCAAUAUGACGGUACCCAAGGAGGAAGCCCCGGCUAACUACGUGCCAGCAGCCGCAGUAAAUACGUAGGGGGCAAGCGUUGUCCGGGAAUUAUUGGGCGUAAAGG